AUUGAACGCUGGCGGCAUGCCUUACACAUGCAAGUCGAACGGCAGCACGGGGGCAACCCUGGUGGCGAGUGGCGAACGGGUGAGUAAUAUAUCGGAACGUGCCCUGGAGUGGGGGAUAACUAGUCGAAAGACUAGCUAAUACCGCAUACGAUCUACGGAUGAAAGUGGGGGAUCGCAAGACCUCAUGCUCGUGGAGCGGCCGAUAUCUGAUUAGCUAGUUGGUGGGGUAAAAGCCUACCAAGGCAUCGAUCAGUAGCUGGUCUGAGAGGACGACCAGCCACACUGGGACUGAGACACGGCCCAGACUCCUACGGGAGGCAGCAGUGGGGAAUUUUGGACAAUGGGGGCAACCCUGAUCCAGCAAUGCCGCGUGAGUGAAGAAGGCCUUCGGGUUGUAAAGCUCUUUUGUCAGGGAAGAAACGGUCUGGGCUAAUACCCUGGGCUAAUGACGGUACCUGAAGAAUAAGCACCGGCUAACUACGUGCCAGCAGCCGCGGUAAUACGUAGGGUGCAAGCGUUAAUCGGAAUUACUGGGCGUAAAGCGUGCGCAGGCGGUUGUGCAAGACAGAUGUGAAAUCCCCGGGCUUAACCUGGGAAUUGCAUUUGUGACUGCACGGCUAGAGUGUGUCAGAGGGGGGUAGAAUUCCACGUGUAGCAGUGAAAUGCGUAGAGAUGUGGAGGAAUACCGAUGGCGAAGGCAGCCCCCUGGGAUAACACUGACGCUCAUGCACGAAAGCGUGGGGAGCAAACAGG
RNAcentral lists this ribosomal RNA (753 nucleotides) under uncultured Burkholderiales bacterium. RNAcentral describes it as "bacterial SSU rRNA". It matches the Rfam family "Bacterial small subunit ribosomal RNA", at positions 28 to 776 of the family's 1533-position model. The record is from RNAcentral. Lineage: Bacteria; Pseudomonadati; Pseudomonadota; Betaproteobacteria; Burkholderiales.